This 465-nucleotide ribosomal RNA is filed under the name Vreelandella stevensii. RNAcentral describes it as "partial 16S ribosomal RNA". It matches the Rfam family "Bacterial small subunit ribosomal RNA", at positions 338 to 795 of the family's 1533-position model. Lineage: Bacteria; Pseudomonadati; Pseudomonadota; Gammaproteobacteria; Oceanospirillales; Halomonadaceae. The record is from RNAcentral.
CCUACGGGAGGCUGCAGUGGGGAAUAUUGGACAAUGGGGGGAACCCUGAUCCAGCCAUGCCGCGUGUGUGAAGAAGGCCCUCGGGUUGUAAAGCACUUUCAGUGAGGAAGAACGCCUGGUGGUUAAUACCCAUCAGGAAAGACAUCACUCACAGAAGAAGCACCGGCUAACUCCGUGCCAGCAGCCGCGGUAAUACGGAGGGUGCGAGCGUUAAUCGGAAUUACUGGGCGUAAAGCGCGCGUAGGUGGCUUGAUAAGCCGGUUGUGAAAGCCCCGGGCUCAACCUGGGAACGGCAUCCGGAACUGUCAAGCUAGAGUGCAGGAGAGGAAGGUAGAAUUCCCGGUGUAGCGGUGAAAUGCGUAGAGAUCGGGGGGAAUACCAGUGGCGAAGGCGGCCUUCUGGACUGACACUGACACUGAGGUGCGAAAGCGUGGGUAGCAAACAGGAUUAGAUACCCUAGUAGUC